Molecule: long non-coding RNA, 1288 nt
Organism: Daucus carota subsp. sativus
Lineage: Eukaryota; Viridiplantae; Streptophyta; Magnoliopsida; Apiales; Apiaceae
Exons: 2
Source: RefSeq, a predicted model, not a curated record
CUUAUCAACAACCCAUCUUUUAUUUCCUCUCAAAUUCGUUAACUUUUGUGAUGAUAAUGCUGUGCUUAUAAUCCCCCCUUUUAUCUCUCACCAAAAUUACUGCUCUUUAAUCUCUGCUGAUACUUCUCGAGUUAUCGAAAAAUUCGACAUUCCCUUUGUUACCAAGAGUGGCAGUUUGAAGCUGAUUGCGCAAGUAGAUGGGAUGCUUUUGUUAACUGAUUUGCAUAUUGAUUAUGCUUCUAGGGAGUUGUAUUUGUGGAACUCUUUUGUUAGGAGACACAGGGUUCUUGUUUCGAGUUGUUUUAAGAGGCUUUUGGAUGAUAGGGAUAAGAGUUAUUAUGUGGUCGGGAUGGGGUAUGACAAGGGUACGGAUGAUUAUAAGGUUAUUAGGAUUGUUUAUGUCCAGGAUGGAAAGGGGAAGCAGUUUGGACAGGUGGCUCCGAAGGUUGAGAUUUAUAGUUUGAGGAAGAACACGUGGAAGAAGAUGGGGAAUUCUCGGGUUCCGAGGCUUGUUAAUGAAAUGGGGGCUUAUGUUGAUGGUAGGUACUACUGGGUAGAGAUGAAACAACCUGGAACUGAGGAGUUUAAUAGUUUGAAGGGGAAUGAGUUGAAGAUAAUGUCAUGAUUUUGAUACGAGGGAGGCAAAUCACUGUUGAAAUAUGCAAAGUGAGGAAUUGUCAGUCUACUGCUGGAAGAGCGUCUAUUUUAGGAAUACGAGCAUCUGGAGCAGGAACACCAGCUCUGUUUCUAUUAGAACGAUCCUGCACGCAACGACACAACUCAAUCCUCUCUUCUCUAGUCUUGGCCGUAUCACGGAAUGCUUUUAAAGAGUUGCAACACUCAGCAGAUGGAUCCUGCUGUUCGCCCCUGUGAAAUGGAUCACAAAGUUGCUUUGUACGUUCUUGUAAUGUUGUUCCGCAGGUAAAAGCCUCCCCUUGCUCCACCAUCAGAAAAGCCGCCAAAAAUGUGGCAAAAACCAUCGUCAAGUACACAAUCUUCGCCAUUAUUUUCUCAGGUAUCUGUAGACUUCUUGGAAUGUGCUAUGUAGACAAAUUGUGCAGAAACAGAUUAUGCAGGGAGACGCAUUUAUAGGCAAGUCGGAGAAGCACUAGAACAAAAUUAACAAAUCUAACUAACAGUUAGGACACCUGGUCUGGUAAGUUCACAGAAAUGCCUAGGAACAAUUUGAUGCUUGCAUCUCUAUUAAUAUGUUUAAUUGUGUGGUUACAUGUUAGGCUUCAUCUGAAAAACUACAAAUUUUAAUCUGGUAUGUAAAUUAGUUGCCUAA